AAGGGGUGGAUCGUUAAAUGCAUGAGGCGGUACCGGGGUCGGCACUACCGAAGAAGGCGGUGGUGGCAGCGCGGGAAGGUCCCCGAGUUCAGCUGGCGCCCGGAGGGGCAGUCGGCGGCGAGGCCGUCGCGGCCGGAGUCGUCGCAGUCGUUACCGCCUUCCUAGUCUACGUACGUCCACACCGGCUAACUCCCGUAGUUCUUCAAGCUCUGGGACAGAAUGAACGGUGGGGAGAGGUGCCUCCGGGAGGAAUUCGUCCAGCUGAUGGACUAGGCGAGGUUCACCCACGGGACGGAGCUCAAAUCGUUCCAACCGAAGCAGAAGGCACUCGUGUUGUCGAGGGGGCCCAUGAUGCUGCCAGCUAUGACCUGUUACACCUUCGACGGAUACAAGCCCACGUGACUGCGGUGCGUCCACGAGUUACUCCACCUCCUCCAGUUCUUCCUCAUGGGACUGCGGAUACAGGCGCAGUAACCGAAGCUGUUGUACGCGGUCCACGUCACGCAGUCGAAGUAACGGAAGUCCGGUGGUCCGACGCUCCUUAGGCCGUUCCGGAUUUCACGUUCAGGCUAUAUGUACGGUACAAUCAAGUGUAAACAGUCGUCGAGACGAAAGAGCCAAAAUAAAGACCAAGAUGAGUAUACACUUAUAUACUCGUAUACAUUCGUGGAUGGUUGCAUCCGGCUCCUCCUACGUACAGUCUUAAUAUCGUGGCCGAUGUGUAUGUGUAUAUAUAAUAUACGUUAGGCGCCUAAUAACAGAACGGUAGUUAACUACCUUUUCUUUGAAACAAACGUUGACCUUUACGGAUACGGAACG
Molecule: ribosomal RNA, 819 nt
Filed under: Triticum aestivum (bread wheat)
Lineage: Eukaryota; Viridiplantae; Streptophyta; Magnoliopsida; Poales; Poaceae
Description: partial small subunit ribosomal RNA
Source: RNAcentral